ACAGAGGGUGCGAGCGUUAAUCGGAAUUACUGGGCGUAAAGCGCGCGUAGGCGGCUUGUUAAGUCAAAUGUGAAAUCCCCGAGCUUAACUUGGGCAUUGCAUUCGAUACUGGCAAGCUAGAGUAUGGGAGAGGAAGGUAGAAUUCCAGGUGUAGCGGUGAAAUGCGUAGAGAUCUGGAGGAAUACCGAUGGCGAAGGCAGCCUUCUGGCCUAAUACUGACGCUGAGGUGCGAAAGCAUGGGGAGCAAACAGGAUUAGAUACCCUGGUAGUCCAUGCCGUAAACGAUGUCAACUAGCCGUUGGGCCCCUUGAGGGCUUAGUGGCGCAGCUAACGCGAUAAGUUGACCGCCUGGGGAGUACGGUCGCAAGACUA
This 372-nucleotide ribosomal RNA is filed under the name uncultured bacterium. Its description in RNAcentral is "bacterial SSU rRNA". It matches the Rfam family "Bacterial small subunit ribosomal RNA", at positions 525 to 896 of the family's 1533-position model. The record is from RNAcentral.